UGUUCUUAUAGAUAGGUGCAAAAAAUAAGUCCUCUCCUGCAACCUAGAACUUACCCUUCAGUAUGAAUUUUGAUACAGAGAAGGAAUAUU
This 90-nucleotide small nucleolar RNA is filed under the name Otolemur garnettii (small-eared galago). Its description in RNAcentral is "Small nucleolar RNA SNORA40". It matches the Rfam family "Small nucleolar RNA SNORA40", at positions 36 to 128 of the family's 128-position model. Rfam says of the family: The snoRNA ACA 40 belongs to the H/ACA family of snoRNAs and guides the pseudouridylation of 28S rRNA subunit at position U4565. Lineage: Eukaryota; Metazoa; Chordata; Mammalia; Primates; Galagidae. The record is from Rfam by way of RNAcentral.